Molecule: transfer RNA, 74 nt
Filed under: Clostridiales bacterium
Lineage: Bacteria; Bacillati; Bacillota; Clostridia; Eubacteriales
Description: tRNA-Gln
Rfam family: tRNA
About the family: Transfer RNA (tRNA) molecules are approximately 80 nucleotides in length. Their secondary structure includes four short double-helical elements and three loops (D, anti-codon, and T loops).
Source: RNAcentral
UGCGGUAUGGUGUAAGGGUAGCACAAAUGAUUCUGGUUCAUUUGGUCUGGGUUCGAAUCCUAGUACCGUAGCCA